RNAcentral lists this ribosomal RNA (452 nucleotides) under uncultured bacterium. RNAcentral's name for it is "bacterial SSU rRNA". It matches the Rfam family "Bacterial small subunit ribosomal RNA", at positions 28 to 493 of the family's 1533-position model. The record is from RNAcentral.
GACGAACGCUGGCGGCGCGCCUAACACAUGCAAGUCGAACGGAGCAUUGAGAGCUUGCUUUUAAUGCUUAGUGGCGAACGGGUGAGUAACGCGUGAGUAACCUGCCCUGGAGUGGGGGACAACAGUUGGAAACGACUGCUAAUACCGCAUAAGCCCACGGCCCGGCAUCGGGCUGAGGGAAAAGGAUUUAUUCGCUUCAGGAUGGACUCGCGUCCAAUUAGCUAGUUGGUGAGGUAACGGCCCACCAAGGCGACGAUUGGUAGCCGGACUGAGAGGUUGAACGGCCACAUUGGGACUGAGACACGGCCCAGACUCCUACGGGAGGCAGCAGUGGGGGAUAUUGCACAAUGGGGGAAACCCUGAUGCAGCGACGCCGCGUGGAGGAAGAAGGUUUUCGGAUUGUAAACUCCUGUCGUUAGGGACGAUAAUGACGGUACCUAACAAGAAAGCUC